GUUCAUGAAAUAAUUGAAAGAUAAGAUAUUGUCAUUGAAUGAGUAGAAACAAAGAACAACAUAGCAGACCCAUUCACUAAAGCUCUACCAUAACAGCAGUUCGAUCGCCACCUCGAUUGUAUGGAGAUAAAAUAUAAGGGCGAUUAGCUUUAGUGCAAGUGAGAGAUUGAAAGAAAUAUAUCCUACAAACCAAUCAAAAUUUAUAUUUUGAUGGGUUUUUCUUGUAAUCUUCC
This 233-nucleotide long non-coding RNA is filed under the name Elaeis guineensis (African oil palm). RNAcentral's name for it is "long non-coding RNA (EGUI_LNC051020)". Lineage: Eukaryota; Viridiplantae; Streptophyta; Magnoliopsida; Arecales; Arecaceae. The record is from RNAcentral.